Long non-coding RNA from Mobula hypostoma (lesser devil ray), 1290 nucleotides. RefSeq lists it as uncharacterized. NCBI's taxonomy places the organism in Eukaryota, Metazoa, Chordata, Chondrichthyes, Myliobatiformes, Myliobatidae. The record is from RefSeq and is a predicted model, not a curated record. The transcript has 4 exons.
CGCGCCUGCAUAAAAAUGCGAUAAAUUAUUGAAAAUAUCAUCUUUCCGGAAAGCAUUUACAACAUAAUAAAUUUCAGGAGCGAUCGGCUCAUUUUUUUUCCCAUCACUUGCUCUUUACCCGGCACACUCCAUAUCCUUGCCCUCAUUCACUCGCUCGUGUUGGUGCCUCCUGCUAUCCCCUCCUUUUUGUUACCUAAUCUCCACAUACAAAUCCUUUCCCGCUCCUUUCGCUGAAUAGCGAGGACUGAUCCAUACUACUGUGUUCCAUUUAAACCGAAUUUUGAUUUGUACUCUUUUCAUACAUCAUUCAAUAUGCAAAAGAAAUAAGGGGAUUAAAUAAAACUUAUCUGUUACUUGUGGAAAUCGUUAGGUAAAUACACCCGUAUGUUCUUUUGAUGCUGAUCUAUUAAAUAACCGUACUUAUGGUACACUUUAGAAUAGGUUUUACGCAUUUUACUCAAUCUUCGACAUUCUAAAUUUCAAAAUUAGAUCGUCAGCGCUUUUGAGUUUGUAACUGAGUUCAAAAUAUUUAGACAAGGCUUAGGAGGAGCGUCAUUGAGAGUGCUGGUGUAGGCAUCCGAACAGGUCCCUUGUACGCAGUGCAAUUGAAAGCGCAAUUCCAGCUUGAUGUCCAUGCCUUUCCCGGGAUGGUUUCCACGUUGAACCUCGGAGUCCAAGGAACAACAGCUCCAGCGCCCCCUCCAGUUCGGCUGAAGUUGUCUUACUAGAGAUGCGGGAAGGAAGAGUUUACGUGUGAUUUCAGCCCAAUGGUAAACCCCUCAAAGAUUCUACACCAGGAGCCCUGUGGAAACUCUAAAAUUAAUAGAAGGUUGACAAAGUGCCGGCGCGUGUGAGGUUGGAUUCGUGGCUGCAGCAUCGCCAAUACAUUGUUUCCCGAAGUCACCCGGGUAAAAUCGGGAGUUCAUGCUGAAAGGUUCUUUUUUUUGCAUUGACAAUCGUUCUUUUAAAAGUCGAUAGUGGGACCAUUAAAAAUGGGUUGAAACGCCUCUUGAUCGUGCGAGACUUGAGCGUGACGGGAAUUUACUCCGAUUCCCAAUGAAAUGCACAAGAAAGCAGCCACUGCGCUCCAUGCCUCACACAAGGUUGCCUUCUAUCUAAAAAUGAGGAACAUACAAAGGAAUCAUUUCACUGGGGACAAAAUAUAUACAGCUUUUCAUGUUGCCACAACAUUGCAUUGUGACAGCAGCUCAACGCCGAGGAUCUAGUCUCACCUAAUGAGCAGCAUCCAGUGUAAAAUGAACGUGUUCAUAUAUUAAAAGGCAAAACAGA